UUGGACGGCCAGAGGAGCCGGGUUCCACCCGUUCCCAUUCGAACACGGCAGUUAAACCGGCCUCCGUAUUGGGUUGUACUGCGAUACGCGGGAACCCCGAUAAGCUGUCCACC
Molecule: ribosomal RNA, 113 nt
Filed under: Candidatus Woesearchaeota archaeon
Lineage: Archaea; Nanobdellati; Candidatus Woesearchaeota
Source: RNAcentral